GAGGAAGUCUGGGAACAAAGAGGAAUAAGCCUGGGAAACAUGGGGCAUAGAGCGCGAGAAGCAGAAAGAAGGUGCAAUCGCAGGAAACUCAACGGUGCAGCAAAGGUGGGCCAGACCCCAUUUGGGCCACAUUCUAAAUGGUUAACUGAGAUUUCCUGGGAUGGGCCAGUGUAUCCAGUGCCCUGUAGAGCAGCCUGUUUCGGGCUUGGUAGUGGAAGGAAGCAUCGAGGCUCCCACGUCAUGCCUACAUUCAGGAUCUAUGUUCAGCUCUGCCUCCAGCAGCAGGUUACUCUUUUCAUGAAGAGGAGGAGGACAAAGCGUAUACUUCAGCCCAGCCACAACGUCAGCACAAAGCUCAAGGCCAGCUGUGGGCUCUUGGAAUAAUUGAGUGAGGCAGAGAAAUGCAGGGUCAUGAUGACAGAGAGAGAAUCUUAGCUGGGGUCUAGAAGUGAUCAAGAGACAUAUUCAGAGUGUACUGUAGAA
Molecule: long non-coding RNA, 483 nt
Filed under: Equus asinus (donkey)
Lineage: Eukaryota; Metazoa; Chordata; Mammalia; Perissodactyla; Equidae
Description: lncRNA (ENSEASG00005028505.1)
Source: RNAcentral